CUGCAUAGCAACAGGGGAACAUCGACUGUGUGCAGAGCCUGUUUGCAUUUUAUAGCCUCUAUCAGCUACUGCAAUCCAAGGAGUUUGGUUUAUGGCAUCUAUUAAGUUGGGAAAAUUUCAUCUACAUUUCUGGGCAGCACUUGGCAAGAAGACCUAGCUGCACUGCAAUAACAGUGAGGAAGCAGAGAGAGUAAGCCAGGACUAGCUCCAGGUCCUUGUGCACCCAUUGCUGCAGCUCCACUGAAGGGUGCCCUUCAUGGAGAAACACUGUGAAAGGCUGUGCUCGAUGUAAAUCACUGUGACGCAGACUGGCAGCAAGCUUGUGUCUGGAGAAAGGACUAAACAAUCAGAUCACAAAAUGAGAGUGGCCAGAAGCUGCUGAAUUUUCUUUCCUGGCUAAAGACACCUGAUGAGCCAGCACAGAAGCAGCUUCUCUGUCCACUCAAGAGACUCUUUGAAACAUGGAUGUGUAUGAGUUCUAGUUUAACAAAGCACUGAGUCACUCUA
This is a long non-coding RNA of Vidua chalybeata, 507 nucleotides long. RefSeq lists it as uncharacterized. The record is from RefSeq and is a predicted model, not a curated record. Lineage: Eukaryota; Metazoa; Chordata; Aves; Passeriformes; Viduidae. The transcript is spliced from 2 exons.